CCUACGGGGGGCUGCAGUGGGGAAUAUUGCACAAUGGGGGAAACCCUGAUGCAGCGACGCCGCGUGAGUGAAGAAGUAAUUCGUUAUGUAAAGCUCUAUCAGCAGGGAAGAAAAUGACGGUACCUGAGUAAGAAGCCCCGACUAACUACGUGCCAGCAGCCGCGGUAAUACGUAGGGGGCAAGCGUUAUCCGGAUUUACUGGGUGUAAAGGGAGCGUAGACGGCAGUGCAAGUCUGGAGUGAAAGGCGGGGGCUCAACCCCCGGACUGCUCUGGAAACUGUACGGCUGGAGUGCAGGAGAGGUAAGUGGAAUUCCUAGUGUAGCGGUGAAAUGCGUAGAUAUUAGGAGGAACAUCAGUGGCGAAGGCGACUAUCUGGCACAUAACUGACGCUGAGGAGCGAAAGCGUGGGUAGCAAACAGGAUUAGAUACCCCAGUAGUC
Molecule: ribosomal RNA, 440 nt
Filed under: uncultured bacterium
Lineage: Bacteria
Description: partial 16S ribosomal RNA
Rfam family: Bacterial small subunit ribosomal RNA
Source: RNAcentral